Molecule: ribosomal RNA, 157 nt
Filed under: Starmera sp.
Lineage: Eukaryota; Fungi; Ascomycota; Saccharomycetes; Phaffomycetales; Phaffomycetaceae
Description: 5.8S ribosomal RNA
Rfam family: 5.8S ribosomal RNA
About the family: 5.8S ribosomal RNA (5.8S rRNA) is a component of the large subunit of the eukaryotic ribosome. It is transcribed by RNA polymerase I as part of the 45S precursor that also contains 18S and 28S rRNA.
Source: RNAcentral
AACUUUCAACAACGGAUCUCUUGGUUCUCGCAACGAUGAAGAACGCAGCGAAAUGCGAUACGUAAUGCGAUUUGCAUUUUUUCGUGAGUCAUCGAAUCUUUGAACGCACAUUGCGCUCUUUGGUAUUCCAGAGAGCAUGUCUGUUUGAGCGUCGUUU